Molecule: ribosomal RNA, 359 nt
Filed under: uncultured soil bacterium
Lineage: Bacteria
Description: bacterial SSU rRNA
Rfam family: Bacterial small subunit ribosomal RNA
Source: RNAcentral
AGGAUGAACGCUGGCGGCGUGCUUAACACAUGCAAGUCGAACGAUGAAGGCUGGAGCUUGCUCUGGCUGGAUUAGUGGCGAACGGGUGAGUAACACGUGAGUAACCUGCCCCAGACUCUGGGAUAAGCGCUGGAAACGCGUCUAAUACCGGAUACGAGCGUUCCACCGGCAGUGGUGAGGAGCUAGGAAAGAAUUUCGGGUCUGGGAUGGACUCGCGGCUAUCAGCUUGUUGGUGAGGUAAUGGCUCACCAAGGCGACGACGGGUAGCCGGCCUGAGAGGGUGACCGGCACACGUGGGACUGAGACUACGGCCCAGACUCCUACGGGAGGCAGCAGUGGGAUAGUUGCACAAUGGGCGC